Molecule: non-coding RNA, 87 nt
Organism: Emydomyces testavorans
Lineage: Eukaryota; Fungi; Ascomycota; Eurotiomycetes; Onygenales; Nannizziopsiaceae
Source: the annotation of a GenBank genome assembly
GGUUGACUGGCCUAGUGGUUAGGGCGUCCCCUUUACACUCAUGAUGAAAAACGGGGAAGGUCGCAGGUUCGAUCCCUGCGUCGACCA